GUAGCGAUUUCCCAAACCUGUAUAAUUAAAAACUAAGCAUUUGUGUUGUCUGUAAUUUCCAGUUGCAGCUGAGAUGUCACAUUUUCCCUUUCCCAGGUCUGUCAUCUCUGGCAGUUUCUAAGACUUUAUAGCCAACAAUUAAAUUAUCAAAACUACUGCUUCCAUCUCCAUAGCUUCUUCUCUUUCCUUUAUCCAGUAUUUUCCAGAACUUAACAAAGCAGUAAAAACAGUAAUUAGUGCUCUAAUUGGUUAAAAUAAUAAUAUAACAGACUUUCUGUCAAAAUAACAACCACAAGGCAAUAUGCUCAUUACGAAUCUUUUAAAUUCCCAGCACUAAGGCGGUUCAAAGUAGUAAAUUAUAUUACAGCAAUUUGUUUCAAAGAAAUAUAGCCUGUAAAUUUAUUUUAUCCUGACAGCUGUGACAGGCUGCACUCCCAAGUAUGUAUUUGUUUCAUGUCUGGCUGCUCAUUUCUCUUCUUCUGAUCCACACAGGCACAUUAAAAAGUUGCAUCUACACCUAAUUUUGAUUUUUCACUCUUUGCUGUGUACCAAAUUUGUAAGCUCUGUGUUUGGGUAUUUCCCUCAGCUUCAAAAUUCUGGUGAAAUCUCAGCAGCCCCAGUGUGGUGUCACCAGAGUGUUUUCUUUGUCUCUCUCAGCUGGUAAAUUAUUAAUGACGCUGCUAAAGGGAGGAGCGGGGUGGUCGGGCGGAGCAGGUGGGGGUGCUGGCAGGAGAGCAUGGGCAGGGGGAACUUGGGGGAGCCCUGAGCAGCUGAAGGAGGUGCAGAUGGCCUGGAGACACAGAUCAGUGACCACCAGCCUUGGAAAAAAAACAAAAGUCUGGAGCUCUACCUGGUGUGAGAACUUCCCACCUUGCCUCCAGAGCCUGGGUAUGAAUCACACCAUAAAUGGCCAGCAAACUUCUGGGAGCUGUGACUGA
This 938-nucleotide long non-coding RNA is filed under the name Ficedula albicollis (Collared flycatcher). RNAcentral's name for it is "lncRNA (ENSFALG00000023404.1)". Lineage: Eukaryota; Metazoa; Chordata; Aves; Passeriformes; Muscicapidae. The record is from RNAcentral.